Molecule: long non-coding RNA, 549 nt
Organism: Thunnus maccoyii (southern bluefin tuna)
Lineage: Eukaryota; Metazoa; Chordata; Actinopteri; Scombriformes; Scombridae
Exons: 3
Source: RefSeq, a predicted model, not a curated record
CUAACAUCCUGCUGUCACUUACCUGAGCGCCUGCUCCUCUGCCGACACUCUGAUGACUCUGAUGCACAGCAGAGACUUUGUGUGUGAUGGGAGUCACCUUUGUUGGGAAGCAGGUGACAAAAUGUUCACUGUCAACACACACAGGCGGGUGUAGAUGGCAUCUCCAUUCACUGAGCUGGAGGUGUUGACGAUCAUGUUCUCUCUCCUGGUUUUUGCCCUCUUCACACUUACCGGGAUGAUCAAUGAGGGAUGUGCACACUCCAAUGAAAAUGCACAACCACAGUGUGAGGAGCUGAUCGUCUGACUCCAGAAAGGAGGUUCAUAACCAAGACUGAAAAACCUCUUCGGACCACAUGAGACUUCCUGUUCAGGGCUUUAAGAGGAGCGUGUCAGCCAAAGCCUUGGAAACUGUGUGUGUAUAUGUGUGUUAUCAGUUACCAGAACAAAGUCUAACUGCUGACUGGACAUGUGUAUGUGUGUGUGUACUUUGUUCUAGGAUAUACCAUUCUUUGUCUCCAGGAUGAGGCACAGAGGAGUGGCCUAGAUGGU